Sander lucioperca (pikeperch) is the source of this 646-nucleotide long non-coding RNA. RefSeq lists it as uncharacterized. The transcript has 4 exons. Lineage: Eukaryota; Metazoa; Chordata; Actinopteri; Perciformes; Percidae. The record is from RefSeq and is a predicted model, not a curated record.
UCUCCGUCAGUGUCGAUCAAAGUCGGGAGGAUGGCGCUUGGACAUUUAGCAACGGAGGAUUUAAUCACGGGCUUACUUCGUUUUGGAAUAAAGGUCACUGAAGAGGAGCGAAGUAAAUUCAAAGAUAAUGAAGUUGACGGAGAAGCAGUGGACUAUGGAUUGACUGAGAGGAUGGUUUCAUACCUCUUUGAAGGAUCGUUUAAGAAGCAAGCCAAAUUCAACCGAUUUGUACAGCAGUGGAAAGAAACCGUGACACUAACCGUUGAGCCUGUCCCGGUACAUUCAGAGAAGGCUACAGUGGAAUCAAGAAUGAAUAUCUGCCGAAGAUUUUAAGAUGGCUUUAAGAUCCUAGUACCCACAGUGCUUAGACUGACUCAAAGGAAAUCUCCCCUUGCAGAUCUGGCUUUGGAGGAAAGAGAGGCUGCCCUCACCGAAGAUGUCCCUGGGAUUGAUUUCAGAGCUGCAAUCCUGCUGUUGCCGAUCCUGUUCAGGGAGAAAAAUGACAUUCUCGUCAUACUUGGAGAGGUGUGUAAUUUGCGUGUACUUAUUUUUUGUUUACAUUACUUCACGCAGAGACUGGGAGAAUUAUAUGCAUCCCUUGGAUGUCUUAUUUCAUAAUACAAAGUUUCUAGCUGUCAAUACUGGG